ACAAGGAUACACAUGGUACUCCAAACAGCUGUAAAAAAUGACGUGGACAGAAGCUGUGGAGGACUAGCAGCCCAAACACAAAGAGCCAACUCACAUCUGGAUCGUCAGGCACAGUAUCUAUGGAUCUCACCCUCCCACCUCAGACUGCUGGUACCAAGCAGCGGUGUCUCCUGGGAGCUGGCUGUGCUGCUGUCCUCCAUCAGCACCGUGGCUGUGCAGCACAAGUCUCACCUCUCACAUGCAAACAGUGUUAGCUAGCAUUCCAGGACCAGAUAUCAAUAAAGGACCCGGCAUUCAGUGUGCUGUGCACCAACUCUCUCAAAGCAUUUGAGGCAAAGAAGAGGAGGAGGUGACAGGCAUGAGAAAGUCUGGAUGAUCAAACCAGCAAGAAAGCCACUUCCAUUCUUUUAUGAAGAGACAUCCUGGAGAGACUUGCUGUACUCAAACAUUCCUGCAAUGGUUUGCCUCCUGGACUGGUCAGAAUGUGGCUGCUCUAUCCUACAUGGGCAAGGGUAAAGAAUAGCCCUGAGAUACUCCAGAAGAGACAGCAUGUGAUCUGGUGGUGGGAUUCAGAGGUCUGAAGUCUCUCUCUUGCUCUGUCAAGCACGUGCUCUUCAGGUUUGGUGCGGACUUGUCUGCUGGAGCUGGACCCUGCAGCUGCCCUGACAGUAUCUGGACCCAAACUGCUCAAGCAGCAAGUCUCCCAGCUCAGGCAGCACCACAAGCCAGUGCCUGCUCAGCUAUAUCCAGC
RNAcentral lists this long non-coding RNA (751 nucleotides) under Gallus gallus (chicken). RNAcentral describes it as "long non-coding RNA NONGGAT002785". Lineage: Eukaryota; Metazoa; Chordata; Aves; Galliformes; Phasianidae. The record is from RNAcentral.